Long non-coding RNA from Photinus pyralis (common eastern firefly), 1086 nucleotides. RefSeq lists it as uncharacterized. The transcript has 2 exons. NCBI's taxonomy places the organism in Eukaryota, Metazoa, Arthropoda, Insecta, Coleoptera, Lampyridae. The record is from RefSeq and is a predicted model, not a curated record.
UUCAACAAUUUGGCGAAAGCAUCUUUAAAAACAAGUGAACCAUCAUUGUACCUGCCAUUUCUUUUUGGGCAUGGUAACCAUUUAAUCCGAAAGGAGUUCUUCUAAAGGAACGUAAGCAUAAUUGGGACCAUUCUGACAACGAUCGUAGGAUAACUUCCAUUCACUUUCGUACGUUCACGAAGCUCUUUUAUUUUCCGUUGACUCUCUCCAUGUAGAGGUUCGCAUUUAUUCUUGUGUAAAAACGUACCACCCAUUAGUUUAUUAUUUUAGAGUUCACGUAUUGGGGUCAAGAACUACGAUCCGACUGUUUACCUGUGAAACGAAACUAUAGACCACAUUGUGUUGCGGAUAAGGGGGCAUAUGAAAGUAAAUCGACUAAGUACUGGAGUGCAGUGUGUACGAUCUAGCAUCAAACCAUUGAAAUAACUUAAUGGCCGAGUCGUACAUAUCUUGAAGCCGCUACCUUGCUUCCGACACUUUGUGUAACACUUAGAGCAGCAUUUGUCAUUCAACGUGCAACCAUAUACCAGGACCUGUGGAAAAGAAGACCUAAAUAUUGAUCGUACGGUGAUGUAACAUUGUUAAACCUUUUUGUAAAUUUGUGUGUUUGCAUUUGACCCACCUCGGUGGUGAUCAAUUGCUAAUUGGCCUGCAUAGAGCCAAGAUUAUUACUGUUAAUUGGUAAGCUUGACAUUUUUGGGGUACAAUAUUUUAGCUAGUAAAAAGAUUACUCUCGUUAUGGAGUGAUAACAAUUUAUGUAAGGUACGAACGAGCUCGUAAGAACCGAAUAAUUUCAUUGCCCACUCAAGCUAUAAAUUAGGGUAUCUAUUUUCAAUUUAAUUCAUUAUUUUGCCACUGUAACGAUAUUUGUGUGUUAACUCCAGAGAUUCUGGUGUAUUUUAUUCAACAUUUUAUGGGAAAUUUUAUGUAAACCCCUUCUUUUGUUAACUUUGGGAGGAUUCAUAUUUUGAGUUGCUGCUUACCUUAAAUAAGAUUAUGAAUUCCCAGUGGGGAAUCUAAGUUGUGCAAUUUUGAAUUUAUUUCAUGGUGCAGUGCACCGAAUAAAACUUUUUAUUUGUGGGUCA